This 20-nucleotide unclassified non-coding RNA is filed under the name Mus musculus (house mouse). RNAcentral's name for it is "oocyte_clustered_small_RNA9511". Lineage: Eukaryota; Metazoa; Chordata; Mammalia; Rodentia; Muridae. The record is from RNAcentral.
UGCCUGAGCCAGGGCCAUGA